GUUGAUUGACUUUAAGAAUAACUUCGUCUUGUUCUUCCAGAAGUCAUACUUUACUCCAUCGAACCUGGGAGGUUUGUUCGAUGCAAGACCAGUACUGUUUUCACCAUUUGAAGCCAUAGUUGUUGUUGUAAGAUGUUAGUCUGACUUCAACGGAACUUGGCUCUGAUACCACUUGUUGGAUCGAGAUCCGAGGCUAUAAGGGGGGAUAAUAGCCUCUUUUCGAUUUAUACAGGUUGAUUGCGGAAUUACCUGUAAACGCUUAAUAAACAAAUGGUUGAACAAUAAUGAUAUAAAGAUAUUAUAACUUUGAUUGAUAUAAUAACGUAAUUAUUACUCUUCGAAGCUUACCACAGUAUAUGAAUACUGAGUCAACUUGCUUGAUAGUGUUUUACACAUAACUAUAGUAUAUGAAUACUAAGUUAUAUUGUAAACACAAAUUGUAUUGUAGAGUAAAUGACCAGAUAACUGGAUAUAUUGAUAAGCAAGUAAAUGACCAGAUAACUGGAUAUAUUGAUAAGCAAGUAAAUGACCAGAUAACUGGAUAUAUAUGAUAAGUAAUACUUGAACAAAUAUAAGGAUUUAAAGC
This 586-nucleotide long non-coding RNA is filed under the name Zostera marina. Its description in RNAcentral is "long non-coding RNA (ZMAR_LNC004392)". The record is from RNAcentral. Lineage: Eukaryota; Viridiplantae; Streptophyta; Magnoliopsida; Alismatales; Zosteraceae.